Long non-coding RNA from Musa acuminata AAA Group (dessert banana), 3080 nucleotides. RefSeq lists it as uncharacterized. The record is from RefSeq and is a predicted model, not a curated record. The transcript is spliced from 3 exons. Lineage: Eukaryota; Viridiplantae; Streptophyta; Magnoliopsida; Zingiberales; Musaceae.
CUCUCUCUCAAACAUUUCUUUUCUCUCAUAAACUCUAUAAAACAACGAUUUGUGAAUUCAAUCGAGGUAAAUUUGGGAAGAUUAAGAGGAAGAACUUUCUAAUCAAGAGGUAUGAGUCAAACUGCUCGAGGAACUACCGAUACCCAAUGGUCACACUCGUCCGCCCAACGUGCAAAGGCAAAGGGGAAGGCAAUAGCAUCAGUUGCAUCGUUGGAAAGAAUCGAGUCGGGCGACGAGACACCUUCACAAUCACAUUCUCUUUCUCGUUCGGUCCAGAUACAUGACAGCAACACGGACAGCAGUGCCUCAACAGAUGAUGGCGGUGAUACCGGGCAGUCGUUGGUCUCGUAUGCACAACUUGAGGGUGGUGAAUGGACUGAGGAGCAAUAUUUUACACAUGCCACUCAAGAUUCAGAUCAUGGAACUCGACAAGGUACUGGUUAAGUUUAUGCGCGGAAGGGAAAGGAGAAGGGGAAGGGGAAGGCAGUGGAUGAAUAUGAACAAAUGCGACAGAGCAUACAUGAUAUAGACACAGAAAGAGACUCAUCGUAUUCACAGCCAUCGUAUUAUGAAGAAUCAUAUGGGCAACAACAGUAUGGUGAUAGUUGGUCAUCCUUCUCUGAGCAACAGCAUGAUACAGAACAACACCAAUAUAUGCCUCAAGAGCUGCCUCGGACAAAUAUGAUUUAUGACGAUCAAUCUACGAUCAGUAUCACAUUGAUGCAUCAAUGACAUACGGUGUAUCAAUACACUAUGUCAUGGGAUCAAUUUCAUGAUUGGGUCCAACAAAAGUAUCAUAUUGAUAUGUAUCGGAUUGAGGACCCCGAUCCACCACCCGUAGAGGCCCGUCGUUCGUUUUGGUGGUAGAAUUAACAAUCAGGUAUAUCUAGAUAUAUGAUUAUUUAAUUCAUUUGAAUUUUAGAGUUUAUAUUGUAACAAAAUAGUCUAACAAUUCAACUGAUUUUUCUAUAGAUAUUUCAAUCUAUAACGAGCUGAAAUACGAACCUCGAACAAGACUACCUCAAAGCCCGAAAAAGAUAUGUGAUGCUAUUUUUACCAAAUUUACAUUGAUUUUGCUAAACUUAUACUAUUACUAUAUUUAUUUGUAACUUGAAAACUCUAUCCUAACUUUUUUUUUAAUUUUCAGGUAUUUUCGGAGGGAUAAAUCGGUGAAAUCAGGUGUACCGAGCGGUACACCUCGGUAUACCGCUCGGUACGCCGUACCGUACCGUACCGAGCCAGCGUCGAAACGCCGGUACGGUACGGUUCGGCGAACCUUGGUUUAAAGUGAUUUCAAUUUGCUUCUCUUGUGUUUCUUUUUUGUAAGGUACUAUCUUUGUUUCAUUUUUGUUUGAGAAUUUUUGUGCAGACUAUAUAUUUUGUUGUGUAUGCUAAUCAUGCAUAAUUAGAUCAAACCGAUAGAUGCUUAUUAUUUUUUUUCUUUUUUGAGCUGAGAUUUCUUAUGAUAUUCAAUAUGGCCUUGGUAUCACAUGAAGACAUCACAUUGCACACCUAGAAGAGUGUUUGACAAUCGAGAUAUCUAUGCAUUAUAAGAGCACCUCUACCUUUGUGCCCCUUGCCACCGUCAUAUAUAUCUUGUAAACUAUCAUUGGCUUUAUGGACAAGGCUAAUGCGGUGGAGAUUGAUGAUCCUCUGAAAGCUCCAGAGCUUGAUCGAGACAAACAAGAAGCUGCACUGAAGCUCAUGGCCAACGGUGCAUGCACCCUUUGCAACACUGGGAAGGGACAAAGAGACUUAGAGCAUUGAUGUUUCAUUUACUAGAAUUUGAGAAUCAGGUUCAAGUAUCCUUUCUUUGUUGAAUAUUUUGGCUACUCCUUUACUAGAAGUAUCUAUGGUGGUUUCUCAAAUUUUAUCAUUGAAAAGUCUAGUGCUCUAAUUAAUUCUCUUUCUUGUCUAACUUCUUGCCUGCCCCUUAACAUUCUGUAAUCUUUUUAUCAAAUUAGUUAUAAUUACUAACAAAGAAUUGUGACUUCUAUUAGUCUUUCUGUUAUUUAAGAAAGAAAAAAAGAGAUCUUAUCAAAUUCUGGAUUGCAUUCUAGAUAUUGCUCUUCUAUUACAGAUCGUUCAUCAAUAAUAUUUUUAGACAUGUUUCGAUUCCUUUAGACUUUGUUUUUUCUCCUUUAGUUAUAUCAUUCAUCAAUAAUAACAUUCCAUAAUCUUUCGAACAAAUUAGGUGUCGUUACUCAUUACUAACAAAGAAUUGUGACUUCUAUUAGUCUCUCUGUUUUGUAAGAAAGCAAAAAAAAGACCUAUCAAAUUCUGGAAUUGCAUUUUAGAUACUGCUCUUUAUUAUAGAUCAUUCAUUGAUAGUAUUUUUAGACACAUUUUAAUUUCUUUAGACUUUGUUUUUUCUCCUUUAUUUGUGUGUUUUCCACUUUGCACUAUUCUGGCUAUAUAUUCUGUAGCUAAUAUUUAACUAAUCAUUUCAUCAUUUUAAAACUGACAAUUUAUCAUAUUAAGAAUAUAGGUUUUCUUACCUUGUUGGAUUUGCAUGUAAAGGUACUGAACAUAAUACCUUCGCUGUUGAUGAGUCACUUAAAGACUUCGCACAAUUAGCUAUUGGACUUUCAGUUGUUGGCUCUACUUUUCAAAAUUAUGUUUUUUUCCUCACAUUUGAACAUGAGGCAGCAAAUAGUUUCCUCAUUGCUCUAAGUAUGCAUUUCUAGAUGUCUAGAAUCUAGGAGUAUAUUAUUGCUUUGGCUGUCAUAAAUAUAGAAAUUCAAAAAAUAGAUCUUUCUGAGAUAUUUUUUUUCUGUUGUUAUGUAGUCCAUUCUCUAAUCUUAUAUAGGAAAUAUUUUAUUGAUGUCAGUCAUCUAGUUUUAUGUGACAUGCCAUAUUUAGUAAUUUGUGCAUCUCUGUGUAUUUGCCUCGUUCAAGAUUCAGAGUGUUCAUUGUACCAACAACAACAAGAAGCGAAGACAUUAUGGGUAUCUACUAUCAUUUUCUAAAAUGUUGUAUGAUUGGUUAUAACCAUUUCUGACCUAGUUCCCAGCUCAGAGCAACAUUAACAUAACCAAAGAAACUGAUAGCACCAACACUUGAGAGUAAAUAAAUCUAAA